RNAcentral lists this ribosomal RNA (425 nucleotides) under uncultured bacterium. RNAcentral describes it as "partial 16S ribosomal RNA". It matches the Rfam family "Bacterial small subunit ribosomal RNA", at positions 354 to 796 of the family's 1533-position model. The record is from RNAcentral.
GUGGGGAAUAUUGGACAAUGGGCGCAAGCCUGAUCCAGCCAUGCCGCGUGAGUGAUGAAGGCCUUAGGGUUGUAAAGCUCUUUCACCGAUGAAGAUAAUGACGGUAGUCGGAGAAGAAGCCCCGGCUAACUUCGUGCCAGCAGCCGCGGUAAUACGAAGGGGGCUAGCGUUGUUCGGAUUUACUGGGCGUAUAGCGCACGUAGGCGGUUUGUUAAGUCAGAGGUGAAAUCCCGGAGCUCAACUCCGGAACUGCCUUUGAUACUGGCAAGCUAGAGUCCGGAAGAGGUAAGUGGAACUCCUAGUGUAGAGGUGGAAUUCGUAGAUAUUAGGAAGAACACCAGUGGCGAAGGCGGCUUACUGGUCCGGAACUGACGCUGAGGUGCGAAAGCGUGGGGAGCAAACAGGAUUAGAUACCCGUGUAGUCC